GCUAACACAUGCAAGUCGAGCGUCCCGCAAGGGGAGACGGCAGACGGGUGAGUAGCGUGGGAAUCUAACCCAGACUCUAACGGAAUAAACUCAGGGAAAUUGUUAAUAACCGUAUAACGUCCGAGAGGAGAAAGAUUUAUCGGAGUUGGAUGAGACCCGCGUUGGAUUAGCUAGUUGGUGGGGUAAAGGCCUCAAGGACGACGAUCCAUAGCUGGUCUGAGAGGAUGAUCAGCCACACUGGGACUGAGACACGGCCCAGACUCCUACGGGAGGCAGCAGUGGGGAAUAUUGGACAAUGGGCGCAAGCCUGAUCCAGCCAUGCCGCGUGAGUGAUGAAGGCCCUAGGGUUGUAAAGCUCUUUCACCGGUGAAGAUAAUGACGGUAACCGGAGAAGAAGCCCCGGCUAACUUCGUGCCAGCAGCCGCGGUAAUACGAAGGGGGCUAGCGUUGCUCGGAAUUACUGGGCGUAAAGCGCACCGUAGGCGGACAUUUAAGUCAGGGGUGAAAUCCCGGGGCUCAACCCCGGAGCUGCCUCUGAUACUGGGUGUCUAAGAGUCC
Molecule: ribosomal RNA, 558 nt
Filed under: uncultured bacterium
Lineage: Bacteria
Description: bacterial SSU rRNA
Rfam family: Bacterial small subunit ribosomal RNA
Source: RNAcentral